CAGGAGGCAGCACUGGCCCUGCGGGAAGUGGCCACUCCGAGCUUAGGGGCCUUCUUAGAUGGCUGAGUGCCGGCAAUGCAGGACCCUGGAGGUGUUUCAGUUUCCUGGAGCUAUCUCAACAAAGUACCCGGAACUGGGGGGCUUAAAAUAACGGCAAUUUAUUCUCUCCCAGUUCUGGAGGCCAGAAGUCUCAGAUCAGUAUUGCUGGGCUGAAGUGGAGACAGAAGCUCCUUCCAGGGCCCUCGGGGAGGAUCCUAGCCUCCUCCAGCCUCCGGUGGAGGCCGCAGCCCUUCCUGGUCUUUCCUCCUCGCCUCCGUCACCUCAUGGCCUUUUCCUCUGUGCCUGUGUCUCUUCUUAUAAGGACACUCAUCUGGAUUUAGAGCCCACCCUAAUCCAGGAUAACCUCAUCGUCUUGUGAUUAUAUCUGCAAAGAACCUAUUUCUAAAUAAAGUCACGCAGGUA
This is a long non-coding RNA of Homo sapiens (human), 462 nucleotides long. The record is from Ensembl. NCBI's taxonomy places the organism in Eukaryota, Metazoa, Chordata, Mammalia, Primates, Hominidae.